Molecule: RNA transcript, 2705 nt
Organism: Populus trichocarpa (black cottonwood)
Lineage: Eukaryota; Viridiplantae; Streptophyta; Magnoliopsida; Malpighiales; Salicaceae
Gene name: ribosome biogenesis protein BOP1 homolog
Exons: 19
Source: RefSeq, a predicted model, not a curated record
UCUCUAUCUCUAUCUCUAAGAGACUAAAACCCUAAACUUAGAAAUCCGGUUUCUUGCUUCAGGCAGCCUUCUCUCCGCCCGUAAGGUUCCAGCUUUAGCUCCUGGGGAGAGAAAAGAGAGAGAUUUUGGAGAGUUAGACGGUAGAGGCAAUGGGGGCGAGCAAGAAAGAAUCAGUUGAAGUGGAAAAAAGGGAGGAGGAGAAGAAGAAAAGCAAAAAAACCCAACCCACCAAGAAAGAGAAGCUCAGUACAGAAGAAUCCCUGCUUCAUAAAAAACAAGAAGACACAGCAACUGAUUACAAGGAAUUUUCCGAGGAUGAUUCUUCUGAGGAUUAUAAAUCAGCAGAGGAGUCAGAAGCUGGUGACAGCGAAACCUCUGGAGAUGAGGGCUUUCACAACACCGGUAGUAAUGAGGGCUUGGCCAAUGAAGGUCAGAGUGAAGACUCUGAACCUGAUCUGGGAGGUGAAGAGAGCGACUCUUCUGAGGAUGAGGUGGCUCCUAGAAAUACAGUCGGUGAUGUUCCAUUGGAGUGGUAUAGGGAUGAAAAGCAUAUUGGGUAUGACAUUGCUGGAAAGAAGCUAAAAAAGAAAGAAAAACAAGAUAAACUUGAUUCAUUUCUUGCGAAUGUUGAUGACUCAAAAAAUUGGCGAAAGAUUUAUGAUGAGUACAAUGAUGAGGAGGUAGAGUUGACAAAAGAAGAAACCAAACUUAUUCGUAGAGUGCUCAAAGGAAAGGCUCCACAUGGUGACUUUGAUCCAUAUGCGCCUUAUGUUGAUUGGUUUAAAUGGGAAGAUUCAAAGCAUCCAUUGUCAAAUGCACCAGAGCCUAAGAGUCGAUUCAUUCCCUCAAAAUGGGAAGCUAAAAAGGUUCUUGGACUGGUUAGGGCAAUUCGAAAAGGAUUAAUAAAAUUUGACAAGCCAAAAGAAGAACCUCGUUUCUACAUGUUGUGGGGGGAUGAUGCUAGCUCAUCAGAAAAGACUGGGCAUUUAUCUUACAUUCCUGCUCCAAAACCAAAUUUGCCAGGCCAUGAGGAGUCCUACAAUCCUUCUCUAGAAUACAUCCCAACACAGGAGGAGAUCAAUUCUUAUCAGUUAAUGGAUGAGGAAGACCGACCUAAAUUUAUACCUAAAAGGUUUACAUCUUUAAGGAGCAUCCCAGCAUAUGAAAAUGCUGUUAAAGACUCUUUUGAGCGCUGUCUGGAUUUAUACUUGUGCCCUAGAGUUCGCAAGAAACGUAUUAAUAUUGAUCCUGAGUCUUUGAAGCCUAAGCUGCCAAGCCGAAAAGAUCUCAAACCUUACCCAGCAACAUGCUAUCUUGAGUAUAGAGGGCACAAAGGUGCAGUUAUGUCAAUUUCCACUGAAGCUUCAGGACAGUGGAUUGCUUCAGGUUCAAGUGAUGGAACUGUGCGAUUGUGGGAGGUUGAGACUUGUAGAUGUAUUAAAGUCUGGGAGUUUGGUGAAGUUGUCCAAUAUGUAGCUUGGAAUCCUUUGCCGGAACUUCCUAUAUUGGCCGUCUCUGUGGGACAAGAUGUGUUCCUUUUGAACACUGGGCUGGGAAAUGAAGAAACACAGAGAAAAGUUAAGGAGCUUCUGCAUGUCGCGACAUCUACAGUUCUUGAUGGUUCUGGUAACAAGGUGUCCGCUUGGAACUGGCUUCAAGAUGACAAACAUGAAGGGAUCAGGUUACAGCAUUUUAAGACUGUAUACUCAGUGGAAUGGCAUCGUAAGGGAGACUAUUUCUCAACAGUGAUGCCAGCUGGUGAUUCAAAAGCAAUUCUUAUCCACCAGCUCUCAAAGAAAUUUACGCAAAGACAUCCAUUUAAGCUGCAUGGACUUCCAGUGUCAGCAGUUUUUCAUCCUACUCGCUCCAUCUUCUUUGUCUCAACAAAGAAGAAUGUUCGUGUUUAUGAUCUCUUGAAGCAAAAGCUGAUCAAGAAGCUGGAGACUGGAUUACGUGAAGUUUCCUCUAUUUCAGUUCAUCCUGCUGGUGAUAAUGUAAUUGUGGGAAGCAGAGAUGGAAAGUUAUGUUGGUUUGACAUGGACCUUUCAUCUAAACCUUACAAAGUUCUCAAGUGUCAUCCCAAAGACAUAAACAAUGUGGCCUUCCAUCGUUCAUACCCAUUAUUUGCAUCAUGCUCUGAUGACUGCACUGCAUAUGUUUUUCACGGCAUGGUUUAUUCUGAUCUCAAUCAGAAUCCUCUUAUUGUUCCCUUGGAAAUUCUCCGUGGACAUGCAAGCUCAAAUGGAAGAGGAGUAUUGGACUGCAAGUUCCACCCACGGCAACCGUGGUUAUUCACUGCUGGUGCUGAUUCUUUGAUAAAACUUUAUUGUCACUAAGAUGAUGCAAAAAGAAGCAUGUGUUACUUCAGGCCAGUUUGAGAAAGAUUGUAAGCCAGAUGACAAAGGGAUGAAAGUAGCUGGAGAGAUGCUGGAAUUAUAUCGAGUGCUUUGAUUAAUCAGUUAAAUGAAGCAAGCAAUGGUUUGAAGAGAUACUGCCUGGAAACAUGACAGGUGGUUCGGAUAUGGAAAAGUCAAGUGGGUAUUUUAAGCUUCCUAUUCUGGACUAUGCUUUUAAACUCGGCUGUUUUCUCCUAAGCUGAGAUUCCAGAACAGUACCAGGAGACCAAAUGCUAGACAUUAAGGGUUUUUAGUGACAUUUUUGAAUUUAGAAUAAAGCUGGAAAGUGUGGUGUUUUCACUGUUCUCA